RNAcentral lists this ribosomal RNA (472 nucleotides) under uncultured marine eukaryote. Its description in RNAcentral is "SSU rRNA". It matches the Rfam family "Eukaryotic small subunit ribosomal RNA", at positions 617 to 1091 of the family's 1831-position model. The record is from RNAcentral.
GGUUAAAAAAGCUCGUAGUUGGAUUUCUGUCGGUGAGUCGCAGUCCGCUCUCAGUGGUUGGUACUAGCGCUUUCACCGGCAUCUUCCUGGGGACUGUAUCUGCUCUUUAUUGAGUGGGGCGAAAAUCCAGGACUUCUACUUUGAGGAAAUAGGAGUGUUUCAAGCAGGCAUCGCCAUGAACAUGUUAGCAUGGAAUAAUAGCAUCGGACCUCGUUCCAAAGCUGUUGGUUUCUUGGAAUGAGGUAAAGGUGAAUAGGGAUUGUUGGGGGCAUUCGUAUUUAACUGUCAGAGGUGAAAUUCUUGGAUUUGUUGAAGACGGACUACUGCGAAAGCAUCUGCCAAAGAUGUUCUCAUUGAUCAAGAACGAAAGUUAGGUGAUCGAAGACGAUCAGAUACCGUCCUAGUCUUAACCAUAAACUAUGCCGACUGGAGAUCGGGGGUCGUUAACUUUGUGACGCCCUCUGCAUCUUGG